GUAGGUGGCAAGCGUUGUCCGGAAUUAUUGGGCGUAAAGCGCGCGCAGGCGGUUCUUUAAGUCUGAUGUGAAAGCCCACGGCUCAACCGUGGAGGGUCAUUGGAAACUGGGGAACUUGAGUACAGAAGAGGAAAGCGGAAUUCCACGUGUAGCGGUGAAAUGCGUAGAGAUGUGGAGGAACACCAGUGGCGAAGGCGGCUUUCUGGUCUGUAACUGACGCUGAGGCGCGAAAGCGUGGGGAGCAAACAGGGAUUAGAUACCCUGGUAGUCCACGCCGUAAACGAUGAGUGCUAAGUGUUAGGGGGUUUCCGCCCCCUUAGUGCUGCAGCUAACGCAUUAAGCACUCCGCCUGGGGAUACGGCCGCGAGGCUG
Molecule: ribosomal RNA, 372 nt
Filed under: uncultured organism
Description: partial 16S ribosomal RNA
Rfam family: Bacterial small subunit ribosomal RNA
Source: RNAcentral